Amphiprion ocellaris (clown anemonefish) is the source of this 623-nucleotide long non-coding RNA. NCBI's taxonomy places the organism in Eukaryota, Metazoa, Chordata, Actinopteri, Pomacentridae. The record is from Ensembl.
AAAUUGUCGAAAUAAUUAACGACAAAAAGUACAACAAAUGGGAUACACUGUUGGUAAAACUCUCCUAGCCGGCUAACUUCCAGCAGGAGGAGACAGAAUCAUCUGAGGGAGCUGGAUGUGGUGCAGCCACAAGGAUCCAGACCAGAGAGUGAAGGGGAGCAAGCCGAGCAUCAGGACACACAUCAGACAGAACAGGUAAUGCAGUGAAUGACCAUAAUCCCAUGUUGAAACAGCGUGAUCACCAUUCAGGUAAUGACACCGCAGGAAGGAGUCAGUCAGCAAACCUCCUGGGUCUCGACUGUCGCUGAUCGUACCGACACUCUGCUGAGCUCUGAAGGAGCCCUUGACAUGAGGGAUUACCUCACCGACUUGUAAAAGAUGCCCUGAAAUAUGAGAUCUUGUAACAUAUUGCUGGAUUUCCUGAAUUCAACACUCAGUGAAGACCAUAUAAACUUUCGCCAGUGUAAUUAAAAACUUCACUUCUCUGUGCAGCCUUGAAGCCAUGCAAUAGUUCUGAAUCAGUUUCACACAUUUUUGUUAACAACAGUUCAAAAGGUCACUAGAAAAAAAAAUCGAACAACCAACUUUUUAGUGGAAUAUUGAUUCGUCAUGGGAAUGAUAUU